ACAUCACUGGUUCCUGUAUGAUCACCGAAGUUAAGCAACAUGGAACCUGGUCAGUAUCUAGAUGGGUGACUGCUUGGGAACACCAGGUGCUGUAA
This is a non-coding RNA of Acanthosepion pharaonis, 95 nucleotides long. NCBI's taxonomy places the organism in Eukaryota, Metazoa, Mollusca, Cephalopoda, Sepiida, Sepiidae. The record is from the annotation of a GenBank genome assembly.